UGAGGAAUAUUGGUCAAUGGACGAAAGUCUGAACCAGCCAUGCCGCGUGGAGGAUGAAGGCCCUCUGGGUCGUAAACUUCUUUUAUCAGGGAAGAAAAGUACUAUUUCUAUGGUAUCCGACGGUACCUGAUGAAUAAGCACCGGCUAACUCCGUGCCAGCAGCCGCGGUAAUACGGAGGGUGCAAGCGUUAUCCGGAUUUACUGGUUUUAAAGGGUGUGUAGGCGGACUGGAAAGUCAGAGGUGAAAUCUCCGAGCUUAACUCGGAAACUGCCCCUGAUACUAUUAGUCUUGAAUAUCGUUGAGGUAGGCGGAAUACAACAUGUAGCGGUGAAAUGCUUAGAUAUGUUGUAGAACACCGAUUGCGAAGGCAGCUUACUAAACGAUGAUUGACGCUGAGGCACGAAAGCGUGGGGAUCAAACA
Molecule: ribosomal RNA, 422 nt
Filed under: uncultured Chitinophagaceae bacterium
Lineage: Bacteria; Pseudomonadati; Bacteroidota; Chitinophagia; Chitinophagales; Chitinophagaceae
Description: bacterial SSU rRNA
Rfam family: Bacterial small subunit ribosomal RNA
Source: RNAcentral